GUUUUGCAAUUUCAAUUUAUGUUGUCUUUUCCUUUCAUGGGAUAUGUUUAUCCCUCAGAGCUCUGGGUUUGCUUCUGACAGAGCUUGGCUUUCAACUUUCCUGAGGAGAUGGUGAUCAAAAUGGAGAAAACAUGUAUUUUGACUGAGCUCAAUAGAGAUGUGGAGGAAUCUCAAAAAACCUGAAAUUAUUCAUGACAUUAUUAUCACAGCACGAUGAAAUAUCAGAAGCUAUUACUUAAGCAACAGUUGAAUGAGUUACAAAAAACUCAUUGUUUGCUGAUUGGCUUCAUUUUCCCUGCACCGUGGUUUGGAAAGUGCCUCUAGGAAGAGAGAGAGCAAGGUAAUAUUUUC
This 351-nucleotide long non-coding RNA is filed under the name Fukomys damarensis (Damara mole-rat). RNAcentral describes it as "lncRNA (ENSFDAG00000030981.1)". Lineage: Eukaryota; Metazoa; Chordata; Mammalia; Rodentia; Bathyergidae. The record is from RNAcentral.